This 650-nucleotide long non-coding RNA is filed under the name Helianthus annuus (common sunflower). RNAcentral's name for it is "hypothetical non coding rna". The record is from RNAcentral. Lineage: Eukaryota; Viridiplantae; Streptophyta; Magnoliopsida; Asterales; Asteraceae.
CCAAAUAAUUUCCAACUGGUAGUGAGAGCUUGUAUAUUUCUUCUUUAUUUGUGAAAGUUAAAAGUUAGGGUUUAAUCCUAACCAGUGGUGUAUUUGCACCUUUAAUUUCAUUAUUUCACAUUCGUUAUCACAAGAUCAUGUGCAAUUUCAAAGUGAUUAUGUCCAGGUAAAGCAUUGAAAUACUGCUUAAAGUUACAACUUUCAUAGGUUUUUUUUACGGUUAAAAACAAAAUUGAGCUUAAAUUGUCAAAUAAAGUAGUAUAAAUUAGGGUUUAACCGUAGCCAUAGAUAUGUUUGUACCUUCAAUUUCAAUAUUUAAUAACUAUUAUCACAUGUAUAAUGGAAUUGAGGCCGAAUGAUUGAAAAAGGGGAACAAAUUGUUAGUAAUUUAAGAUGAUACAUACCUAUCGGUAAGGGCGAAGAGAGCAUUGGAGCCUUUAAAACUAAAAUCAACAGGUUUAUCGUUGUCAUCGUAAAAGAAAAGGCGUACCAAUCGAUAGAUUACCAGACUGAAGAUGAUUGUCGACAUCUUAAUAUUUCGGGUGGCUGGAAACGAACUCGAAUUGAAGGAGGAACGAUUGUAUUGAUGAAACUAAUUAUUGCAUUGAAGAGGACGAUUGAGGGCGAUGCAGGGAGAGCAGGGUAGAAUG